Molecule: ribosomal RNA, 253 nt
Filed under: uncultured bacterium
Lineage: Bacteria
Description: partial 16S ribosomal RNA
Rfam family: Bacterial small subunit ribosomal RNA
Source: RNAcentral
UACGUAGGGGGCGAGCGUUGUCCGGAUUCAUUGGGCGUAAAGAGCUCGUAGGCGGCCCUCCACGUCGGAUGUGAAAGCUCAGGGCUCAACCCUGAGAUGCCAUUCGAUACGGGAAGGCUAGAGGUAGGUAGGGGAAAGUGGAAUUCCUGGUGUAGCGGUGAAAUGCGCAGAUAUCAGGAAGAACACCCGUGGCGAAGGCGGUUCUCUGGGACGGUACUGACGCUGAGGAGCGAAAGCGUGGGGAGCGAACAGG